CUUUGCCUACGGGGGGCAGCAGUGAGGAAUAUUGGUCAAUGGGCGGGAGCCUGAACCAGCCAAGUCGCGUGAGGGAAGACGGUCCUAUGGAUUGUAAACCUCUUUAGGCGGGGAGCAAUGCCGGGCACGUGUGCCCGGAGGGAGAGUACCCGCAGAAUAAGCAUCGGCUAACUCCGUGCCAGCAGCCGCGGUAGUACGGAGGGUGCGAGCGUUAAUCGGAAUUACUGGGCGUAAAGCGCUCGUAGGCGGUAUGUCAAGUCAAGGGUGAAAUCCCCGCGCUCAACGUGGGAACUGCCUUUGAAACU
Molecule: ribosomal RNA, 305 nt
Filed under: uncultured bacterium
Lineage: Bacteria
Description: bacterial SSU rRNA
Rfam family: Bacterial small subunit ribosomal RNA
Source: RNAcentral